CGAACCCCAGACCCACAGAAGAGCAGGACCCGGGCCAACCCACUGCGCCACUGCACUCCCCCAAGAGGAAAACAUUCAAACGCUAUACUUUCUGAGCCAGAUUGAAACCCAUUUCUGAACUCAUAGCCCAGGGGAUGUGAAGCACCAGUGCUGCCUGCUGCACCACCAUGCCUCCCUGUAGGAAACAUUAAAUCCUUUAAUGUAGUAGUACCCUCAAACUGUAACACUGAUUAUUAAUAUAGCAAAUACUGAUGAUGACAUAUAACUGAUGUUCUCUGGCUUUUCUUACUCAAGAGAUUGAAGUCCUGACAUUAACGUUAUUAAUAUUUCAACUGCCCAAGUUCUAGCAUUUAUUUGCACUCAGCGUACAUGCAGGAUUUUCUCAAAGUUCCAACCAGUGACAUUAAAAAGGAGUUUGUGGAGUAAUUUUAUUAUGCGAAGUUUCUAGGCACGACCAUCUAAGUUACCCAAAAGUGUAUCUUGUUUUAUCUUGUUUAAUGUUGUUUAAUUCUGAUCCCUGACAAAUGGCGUUACAAAGGGGCAGCGCACUUUGGCGGCUUGUUCGGCUUCGCACCGUAUAAAAUUGCCUAAAAAAGCGAAGGAGUUUCAGAUUAUUUCCGUCGUGCCGUGUUCUGCUGCCGAUAUGACGCUGACGAGGGAGGGAAGCGGUUUUUGUAAAAAUAAAAUUGUGUAUUUUAAUCGGAUCCUCCUUCCGCACCCGGUGCCUCUCUCUCCCCCCUCUCUCUCUCUCUCUCUCUCUCUCUCUUUCUCUCUCUCUCUCUCUCUCUUUCUCUCUUUCUCUCAGCAUAUCCAUUUGAUCAUCUCCCCAAGUCCCCUGGCUGAACCAGGCGCGCUUUUCCGCCCAGUUCUGAAGAGGGAGGAACUUCAAAGUGCGUUCAGGAGAUUGGGUGCUUUAGGGUUAAUCGGGCCGGACAAGGUGGCAGCCAGGUUGCGGUUAUGUGUGGUUAGGCGGUGGGGAUGCAGCGGUUACCACGGCGCCCCGGGCUCAUGCAUCGCACCUGAUAACCCGCCCGCGGAAGACGGACCACGUGACGGGCAACAUGCUUGAUUGUGUAGGGCGAAAGCGUGCCCCCCUCCCAGAACAUGUCAUUGGACAUGAAAUGCUUUUCCACGACGGUUUAGACCUGCAGCGGAGGCUCGGCACCCCGGGGCACGUGGGCUGGCGGACGCCCAGGCUGAGAGGGACAGACAGCGAGGACAGCUGCCAAAACCUGCAGAGAUCCACCGCCAGGCGCUUGUAACUGUCCGUAACUGCCCGGCUGGGGGUCUCGCCGGCUCCGCCCAUCCGCCGCAUUUCUGACCUUUCAGCUGCGUUUGUCCACGGUCUUCCAACAGCAUUGCUGGUGUCACAGCUGAGUAUUGCAUUUCGGACAGGAGAAGGAAAAGGAAACGGAGUCAUAAAUGCAGAGGAGGCAGGUAAAGUGGGCGUGGAGAGGCAGUGGGUGCACAGCCAUCGUGGAUUACAGUCCCUUUCUGUUGUUUUCUCACAGGUGACAAUAAAAUGCAUC
This is a long non-coding RNA of Scleropages formosus (Asian bonytongue), 1529 nucleotides long. RefSeq lists it as uncharacterized. The transcript is spliced from 3 exons. The record is from RefSeq and is a predicted model, not a curated record. NCBI's taxonomy places the organism in Eukaryota, Metazoa, Chordata, Actinopteri, Osteoglossiformes, Osteoglossidae.